AGCGCAGGCGGGAAACUAAGCGGAUCUUAAAAGUGCGGGGCUCAACCCCGUGAUGGGGUCCGAACUGGUUUUCUUGAGUGCAGGAGAGGAAAGCGGAAUUCCCAGUGUAGCGGUGAAAUGCGUAGAUAUUGGGAAGAACACCAGUGGCAAGGCGGCUUUCUGGACUGUAACUGACGCUGAGGCUCGAAAGCUAGGGUAGCGAACG
Molecule: ribosomal RNA, 205 nt
Filed under: uncultured bacterium
Lineage: Bacteria
Description: partial 16S ribosomal RNA
Rfam family: Bacterial small subunit ribosomal RNA
Source: RNAcentral